UACAGAGGGUGCGAGCGUUAAUCGGAAUUACUGGGCGUAAAGAGUGCGUAGGUGGUUAGAUAAGUCAGAUGUGAAAGCCCUAGGCUUAACCUGGGAAUUGCGUUUGAUACUGUCUAGCUAGAGGAUGGGAGAGGGAAGUGGAAUUUCCGGUGUAGCGGUGAAAUGCGUAGAUAUCGGAAGGAACACCAGUGGCGAAGGCGGCUUCCUGGACCAUAACUGACACUGAGGCACGAAAGCGUGGGGAGCGAACAGG
RNAcentral lists this ribosomal RNA (253 nucleotides) under bacterium. RNAcentral's name for it is "partial 16S ribosomal RNA". It matches the Rfam family "Bacterial small subunit ribosomal RNA", at positions 524 to 776 of the family's 1533-position model. The record is from RNAcentral. RNAcentral also lists the same sequence under 1 other name.